AGUCCCACUGAGGUCAGGUCUGCCGUCCACACCUCGGGGCCCAGGACCCCAGGCAGGGCCCCGGGGCCUGAUGCGCAGCAGGAGGGGGCGGCGGUGGGGGGCUGUGGCUCGGGGCCCAGCUCACAGCCCUCCCUCCUGACCUGCGCCCAGCCCAGCCUCUCUCGCAGACCCUAGGUGGCACCCUACGAGGGGCUGGGAUCUUGGCGCGUUGGGGAGCCCGUCGAGUGACCGACAGAGGCGAGGCUGGACAGAAGCCUGGCCCCGAGGAAGAGUGGGCUUUUCCGGGCCGCCCAUACUGCGGCCUGCCCUGCACCCCUCCCCGGGGGACUCCCGGGACCGUUGGGGCUGCGGAGGCACCAGAGGGGCUGGGACCCGGGCGUCCCUCGAGGCAAAAUGACCUCCACGUGACCUAGGAGGGGCUGAGGUGGCAGCCCAGCGCCCCAGGGCCCAGCACAGCGGAGUCCCUCUGCUUCUCCCUCGGGACAGCAGGCUGGGGCCACCUGUGGGGAGCCGGCCAUCCACGCUGAGGGGACCCCAGGCUGGGUCCCCUCCAGCUGAGGUCCACGGUGCAGAGAGCCGGCUGGGGGGGGGGGGGGCCUAGAGAGUCAGACCGCACCCCCGCUGCCCACCCGCGCCCCACGCCACUCGGGGUCAGCGGACACCGAAGGCCCCCCGCGGUCUGACGGGCAGACACCCACUUCCCCUCCCCGGGCUGAGGCCCCGGUGGUGGCCGGGGGCGGGUGGGGUGGCCCAAGCAUGGCUGUCCUCCGCAUACGCUCAAAGUCCUUUAUUGUACAAUGUCUUCUGUCUGGGGGAGGGGCGCCAAAGGACUAACGGGUACACAGCGAAGUAGAUAAAUAUGCCAAGCUUUUUCUUUUUUCUUUUUAAAUCAGGCAUUUAUAAACAAGAAAGCAUACAUUAAUUACAUAAAAAUAGUUUUCGAUAGUAGAGUAAGUCACCAUGUUGUCAUUAGCAGCAGCAGAGGAGAAAACGCGGACGGCGAUGCAGACGCUCCCGGCAGGUACAAAGGAGGGGGGUCCAGCAGCACCUGCGCCCCUCCCCCCUCCCCCCCGGUAAACCACGGGCAAGAACCCUGCAGAUGACACGGUCACCAAGCCUCUGCUGGUCCCGGCGGCGGGCGGCGUCUGCACCUGCGCCAGCCAGCGGUCCCCACCUCCGUGCGCGCUGGCAGCUGCCUCGGCGUUGGAACGGGGUCGAGCGAAGAAUCCUGGCUAAGAUCUUUCUCACGUAAAUAAAUACCGUAAUUUCAGGAUGGGUAGCCGCCUCUUGUCUACUGGGAAAUCAUUUUUCAAGCUUGGGCAUAAAAAACCUUAUACAAUUUGCAUGAACAGUUGAGAGUAAACGAGAUUAUCUGGAAUAAAUGCAAGUAACUUAUUCUGAUAGUGGCAGAUUCGAUCGCGACUGAAGACAGGUGUCUCGGGGGUAAAAAGACGAGUCAGGAUUUGCUGUACAAGAUGCUGGAAGGCACAGAACUACCCCCCGAAGUUCAGCUUUUGCAUUUCCGUUUUGUGAUUCCCUUGUUCAACCGAGCACCAGAGGGGGUUUCUAAACACUCGAGCACUUAGGAUGUGGACUGCUCUAUAAAUGGGUCUGCAAUAUUUGAAAAGUAAAAACCUCCGUUAACUGGGGAAUAAAAAGAGAAGGGAAGAGUUUUGACAAAGUGCAGUUCUAAAUAUACGUUUAAAUGAACAAACAAAAAGAAAAAAAAAAA
Lynx canadensis (Canada lynx) is the source of this 1732-nucleotide long non-coding RNA. RefSeq lists it as uncharacterized. Lineage: Eukaryota; Metazoa; Chordata; Mammalia; Carnivora; Felidae. The transcript is spliced from 2 exons. The record is from RefSeq and is a predicted model, not a curated record.